UGCACAUAAUGUCUAAGUAUUACUGCAAAAAUAGAUUUGACCUCACAUACUCCCCGGCAGGGCCUCAAGGCUCUUCGACAUUCAUUCCCCACCACACUCUGAGAACCACCAUGCAUGCCAUGCCGACUCACACUAGAGCCAGUGGCACAGUGCAAGGCACAGGGAAUACAGGUUACCAUGGGGCCCAUGCUGGGGCAUCACUCGGGCAGACCUGCCCCAUCAAAGCUUAUCUUAUCCACUGCAGUGUUCCAUGAACCAACUUCAAGCCCUCACUGCUCUGAUGCAUUGGGGCUUAAGCCAAUGAUUUCUCCCCCAAAGAUGGCUGACAGGACAGGCCCCACCCAGAGAAGCCUCUGCCGUGCUGGUCAGUGCUCUCAGGUCUGUCGUGGACUGAAGAACAGAUGGCAGAGCUGGAAGCCCUGCAUCACACACUGGCUGAUCCACUGCAGUCCUAACACAGAAGCUUAUCAGCUGCUCGAACUGAACAUAUAUCCAGUAUACAGCCAGGAAACGGGAAGAACGGCAGAAAGAUAAAGCCUAUCUGGCCACAAUGUCAACAUUAGCCUUUCUCUGGCCCUCUG
RNAcentral lists this long non-coding RNA (581 nucleotides) under Chinchilla lanigera (long-tailed chinchilla). Its description in RNAcentral is "lncRNA (ENSCLAG00000027238.1)". Lineage: Eukaryota; Metazoa; Chordata; Mammalia; Rodentia; Chinchillidae. The record is from RNAcentral.